This 425-nucleotide ribosomal RNA is filed under the name uncultured bacterium. Its description in RNAcentral is "partial 16S ribosomal RNA". It matches the Rfam family "Bacterial small subunit ribosomal RNA", at positions 354 to 796 of the family's 1533-position model. The record is from RNAcentral.
GUUAGGAAUAUUGGACAAUGGGCGCAAGCCUGAUCCAGCCAUGCCGCGUGAGUGAUGAAGGCCUUCGGGUUGUAAAGCUCUUUAGUCCACGAAUAUAAUGACUGUAGUGGAAGAAUAAGCCCCGGCUAACUUCGUGCCAGCAGCCGCGGUAAUACGAAGGGGGCGAGCGUUAUUCGGAAUCACUGGGCGUAACGCGUGCGUAGGCUGUUUUGUAAGUCAGAAGUGAAAGCCCAGGGCUUAACCCUGGAAUUGCUUUUGAAACUACAAGACUCGAAUUCGGGAGAGGAUAGCGGAAUUGUCAGUGUAGCAGUGAAAUGCGUAGAUAUUGACAGGAACACCAGUGGCGCAAGCGGCUAUCUGGACCGAUAUUGACGCUGAGGCACGAAAGCGUGGGGAGCAAACAGGAUUAGAAACCCUAGUAGUCC